RNAcentral lists this ribosomal RNA (1122 nucleotides) under Alkalibacterium pelagium. RNAcentral's name for it is "Bacterial large subunit ribosomal RNA". It matches the Rfam family "Bacterial large subunit ribosomal RNA", at positions 242 to 1371 of the family's 2925-position model. The record is from Rfam by way of RNAcentral. Lineage: Bacteria; Bacillati; Bacillota; Bacilli; Lactobacillales; Carnobacteriaceae.
AGUAGCGGCGAGCGAAACGGGAAGAGGCCAAACCAGAAUGCUUGCAUUCUGGGGUUGUAGGACCGGCGAUAUGGACAAGAGACGAUAGCAGAAGCAGCUGGAAAGCUGUGCGAGACAGGGUGACAGCCCCGUAUGCGACAUCGAACCUUGCCUAGCCGGGAUCCUGAGUACGGCGGAACACGAGAAAUUCCGUCGGAAUCCGGGAGGACCAUCUCCCAAGCCUAAAUACUCCCUAGUGACCGAUAGUGAACCAGUACCGUGAGGGAAAGGUGAAAAGAACCCCGGAAGGGGAGUGAAACAGCACCUGAAACCGUGUGCUUACAAGUAGUCAGAGCCCGUUAACGGGUGAUGGCGUACCUUUUGUAGAAUGGACCGGCGAGUGACGAUGUCAUGCAAGGUUAAACCGAAGAGGUGGAGCCGCAGCGAAAGCGAGUCUGAAUAGGGCGUAGAGUAUGCCGUCGUCGACCCGAAACCAAGUGACCUACCCAUGUCCAGGGUGAAGAUGCGGUGAAACGCAUUGGAGGCCCGAACCCAAGUACGUUGAAAAGUGCUGGGAUGAGGUGUGGGUAGCGGAGAAAUUCCAAUCGAACUUGGAGAUAGCUGGUUCUCUCCGAAAUAGCUUUAGGGCUAGCCUCGGAUAGUGCAUCAUGGAGGUAGAGCGACUGUUUGGACUAGGGGCCCUUAUCGGGUUACCGAAUCCUGAUAAACUCCGAAUGCCAUGUUAUGUAGAUCCGGGAGUCACACUGCGAGUGAUAAGAUCCGUAGUGGAAAGGGAAACAGCCCAGACCGUCGGCUAAGGUCCCCAAAUUCUUGUUAAGUGGAAAAGGAUGUGGGGCUGCUUAGACAACUAGGAUGUUGGCUUAGAAGCAGCCAUCAUUUAAAGAGUGCGUAAUAGCUCACUAGUCGAGUGGCCCUGCGCCGAAAAUGUACCGGGGCUAAACAAGAUACCGAAGCCACGGAUAGAACCAUUGGUUCUAUGGUAGGAGAGCGUUCUAAGGGCGGUGAAGCAAGAUCGUGAGGACUUGUGGAGCGCUUAGAAGUGAGAAUGCCGGUAUGAGUAGCGAAAGACGGGUGAGAAUCCCGUCCACCGAAUGACUAAGGUUUCCUGGGGAAGGCUCGUCC